This 1988-nucleotide ribosomal RNA is filed under the name Pseudoparamoeba garorimi. RNAcentral describes it as "SSU rRNA". It matches the Rfam family "Eukaryotic small subunit ribosomal RNA". Lineage: Eukaryota; Discosea; Flabellinia; Dactylopodida; Vexilliferidae. The record is from RNAcentral.
AACCUGGUUGAUCCUGCCAGUAGUCAUAUGCUUGUCUUAAAGAUUAAGCCAUGCAUGUCUAAGUAUAAGCACUUGUACGGCGAAACUGCGAAUGGCUCAUUAAAUCAGUUAUAGUUUAUUUGAUAGUAACUUACUACUUGGAUAACCGUGGUAAAUCUAGAGCUAAUACAUGCGUAAAAUCCCGACUGGGAACGGAAGGGAUGUAUUUAUUAGAUUAAAACCAAUGCGGGUUCCUUCGGGGAUCUGGUUAUAUGGUGAAUCAUGAUAACUUUGCGGAUCGCACGGCCUCGCGCUGGGGACGGUUCAUUCAAAUUUCUGCCCUAUCAACUUUUGAUGGUAGUAUAGAGGACUACCAUGGUGGUAACGGGUAACGGAGAAUCAGGGUUUGAUUCCGGAGAAGGAGCCUGAGAAACGGCUACUACUUCCAAGGAAGGCAGCAGGCGCGCAAAUUACCCAAUCCCGACACGGGGAGGUAGUGRCAAAAAAUWACAAUACCGGUCUUAUACAAGUCCGGUAAUUGGAAUGAGUACAAUCUAAACCCCUUAACGAGUAUCAAUUGGAGGGCAAGUCUGGUGCCAGCAGCCGCGGUAAUUCCAGCUCCAAUAGCAUAUAUUAAAGUUGUUGCAGUUAAAAAGCUCGUAGUUGGAUUUUGGUACAGGAGGGGCUUGGCCCGCCAGGAAAUGGUGUGUGCUGGUCGCUCGGUACUCCCUACUGGAUACUCGCCGCUGCCGUUCAUUCGGUGGCGGUCCCGGUGCCGCGAGGCGCCGGGUGCGGGCGGGGUCUGACGCGGGGGAUGUGGACGAGUUACGCCUUCGGGGGUGGCUCGGACUGCCCUCGCGGCUUCCCGUCGGUAGGGUUCCAGUUAGUUUACUUUGAGUAAAUUAGAGUGUUCAAAGCAGGCGUUUUGCUUGAAUACUAUUAGCAUGGGAUAAUGGAACAGGACGUUGGUUCUAUUUUGUUGGUUUCCGGAACUAAUGUAAUGAUUAAAAGGGAUAGUUGGGGGCAUUAGUAUUUAAUUGUCAGAGGUGAAAUUCUUGGAUUUAUGAAAGACUAACUUCUGCGAAAGCAUUUGUCAAGGAUGUUUUCAUUAAUCAAGAACGAAAGUUAGGGGAUCGAAGACGAUCAGAUACCGUCGUAGUCUUAACCAUAAACUAUGCCGACCAGGGAUUGGGAGACGUUAUCAUGACUCCCCCAGCACCUUACGAGAAAUCACAAGUCUUUGGGUUCUGGGGGGAGUAUGGUCGCAAGGCUGAAACUUAAAGGAAUUGACGGAAGGGCACCACCAGGUGUGGAGCCUGCGGCUUAAUUUGACUCAACACGGGAAAACUUACCAGGUCCAGACACAGUUAGGAUUGACAGAUUGAGAGCUCUUUCUUGAUUCUGUGGGUGGUGGUGCAUGGCCGUUCUUAGUUGGUGGAGUGAUUUGUCUGGUUAAUUCCGAUAACGAACGAGACCUCAGCCUACUAAUUAGUUAUGCUAAUUCUUACGCCGUGGGUCCCGUCGCGCGCCCCCUCACGGGGGAACGCGGUGGGAACCUAGUAUUAAUUGGUAGCAACUUCUUAGAGGGACACUUGGUGUCUAACCAAGGGAAGUUUGAGGCAAUAACAGGUCUGUGAUGCCCUUUAGAUGUUCUGGGCUGCACGCGCGCUACACUGAUGCAAUCAACAAGUCUAUCACCUUGGCCGACAGGUCUGGGUAAACUUUUGAAAUUGCAUCGUGCUGGGGAUCGAUGAUUGUAAUUAUUCAUCGUCAACGAGGAAUACCUAGUAAGCGCAAGUCAUCAGCUUGCGUUGAUUACGUCCCUGCCCUUUGUACACACCGCCCGUCGCUCCUACCGAUGAAUGGUCCGGUGAGCACUUAGGAUUUUGGGCAUAUGCCUUGCUGGCUUCGGCUGGUAGGUUUGUCUGAGAGAAUUUGUGCAAACCUUGCCAUUUAGAGGAAGGAGAAGUCGUAACAAGGUAUCCGUAGGUGAACCUGCAGAAGGAUCA